CAUGUCUUGUGCGGAUGGCGCGAAGGCACAUGUCUACUUCGUUAUACUUUCUUUAUAGAGAAAGAUAUGUUCACGUUUUAAAGUGAUUUUACGACGAGAACGCGAUGCUUUGUGUGGUUGAAUUAACCUGAGCUUCACGCACGAGAGGAGGAUUCGAGGGAUGCCAAUGACUGUUACCUCUGCUCCUUUUGGCCUUCCACGUCUGAGCAUUCUUGGUGGCAUUUUGAUACCUCUAAUUUGGCAAUGGUUUGUAGCUGUAACUUCACCUUUGUCGUGAUCAUCAAUUUCUUCCAAUUCAGAUUUCCUGAUUUGUUCUUGUGAUGUUCCAUCCUCACAGCAACAUGUACCUACAACUGCAUUUUUGGCUUCGUGUUGCUUGUUUUUAACUUGAAUUUUCCUUUAAUUCUAUUCUCCAUGAAAUCAUUUGACUUUGCUCAAAGACAAAUAUCUAUAUUGAUGGGCGUAUACAUCUAAUUAUUACAUAAAGAACAGUUCGGGCAUUUUUCGUUCAAUAGUUCUUGGAUAUCUACUUUCCUUACUUGCCUCUUAAACAUAUUAAUUGAAUUUAAUUCCUUGAUAUCUUUAGGCGGUUUGGACCAGAUAACUGGAUCUAUGUAUCUGAUACUACAUGUAUGUUUACCAUAUGUAUAGUUGUGUUUAUUCUGGGAAUUGUGAAAAAGUGUGAAUUUCGAAGAUUAUAUUCUGUUUUAUUUGGGUUAAAGAGAUCUGCUAUGUAUUUUGUACCUUGUCUUGUUCUUUCUGAUCUACGGUUAUUUCCUCUUUGCUUUCUGUUCUUGUUGGUGCAGUGUUUGCCAGAUCUUGUUUUUCUCUAGCCUCAGCUUGUUGCGUAUCAUUCAUCGCUUCCAUUUCGUCCUCUAGCUGCUCCAGAGUGUCAUCAUGGAAAGAAAUGUACACUUCUUUACCUAACUUCCAGUUUUCGACUAUUUUUCCAAGAAGAUCUAUC
This is a long non-coding RNA of Actinia tenebrosa (Australian red waratah sea anemone), 964 nucleotides long. RefSeq lists it as uncharacterized. Lineage: Eukaryota; Metazoa; Cnidaria; Anthozoa; Actiniaria; Actiniidae. The record is from RefSeq and is a predicted model, not a curated record.